CAGCCGCCACGGUAAUACGGAGGAUCCAAGCGUUAUCCGGAAUCAUUGGGUUUAAAGGGUCCGUAGGCGGUCUUGUAAGUCAGUGGUGAAAGCCCAUCGCUCAACGGUGGAACGGCCAUUGAUACUGCAGGACUUGAAUUAUUGGGAAGUAACUAGAAUAUGUAGUGUAGCGGUGAAAUGCUUAGAGAUUACAUGGAAUACCAAUUGCGAAGGCAGGUUACUACCAAUUGAUUGACGCUGAUGGACGAAAGCGUGGGUAGCGAACAGGAUUAGAUACCCCUGUAGUCCCUGUCUCUUUUAC
RNAcentral lists this ribosomal RNA (301 nucleotides) under uncultured bacterium. Its description in RNAcentral is "partial 16S ribosomal RNA". It matches the Rfam family "Bacterial small subunit ribosomal RNA", at positions 509 to 807 of the family's 1533-position model. The record is from RNAcentral.